GGAGGCUUACAAGUGGCAUAUAAAACAGUAAUAUGUAUCCUUUGAUGGUCACGACUAGCACCUCUUUGAGCAUGAAUCCCAGCAGCCUUUCACUUUCUCUUCAGCUGAUAACAAACAUUAAGCAUAAAAAUGAUAAGAUUGUGUAUUUGAGAGAGACAGUGAGAGAAUUGAGAUUUAAUUAAUUAAUUACCAGGAUUAUCUUGAUGCUAAAAUGGGUGCAAGAGGAAGAAGCACAAUCAAGCAUACAAUUAAUUCUUUCUGGGUUGGUCCAGAUCCAAAUGGUUCAUCGGGAAUAUGCAGUCACCCAUUCACAAUACUGCGCAUCCAGGCAAAUCUCUGGCACUUUCAAGACAUAAGUAGAAGCAACCAUUGUCGCAAUGAUUAAAAGAGCCUGAAGCAACAAACACUAAACAGAAAAUCAACGCAUUUGAAUGAACAUAUUUCUGAAUUUUCUCCAUUUCGCUUUUAUUUUCUUUCCUGUGGCAAUAACUAAGAUCUAAUAAGAAGUUU
This 510-nucleotide long non-coding RNA is filed under the name Citrus x clementina. Its description in RNAcentral is "Citrus clementina (C. clementina) long non-coding RNA (CCLE_LNC001383)". The record is from RNAcentral. Lineage: Eukaryota; Viridiplantae; Streptophyta; Magnoliopsida; Sapindales; Rutaceae.